Molecule: ribosomal RNA, 118 nt
Filed under: Trichocoleus desertorum ATA4-8-CV3
Lineage: Bacteria; Bacillati; Cyanobacteriota; Cyanophyceae; Leptolyngbyales; Trichocoleusaceae
Source: RNAcentral
UUCCUGGUGUUCAUGGCGCGGUGGAACCACACUAACCCAUCUCGAACUCAGAGGUGAAACGCUGCAGCGGCGACGAUACUUUGGGGGUAGCCCCACGGGACAAUAGCUCGAUGCCAGG